Non-coding RNA from Cordylochernes scorpioides, 5737 nucleotides. Lineage: Eukaryota; Metazoa; Arthropoda; Arachnida; Pseudoscorpiones; Chernetidae. The record is from the annotation of a GenBank genome assembly.
AGAAAUGCCUCAUUGAAUGUAUUAAACUAUAUUGAUUUUCUCUUGCGAGGAGAACAUACAAGCUCACAUCAAGAUAGAUGGAAAUUUUGUCUGAAGGAAAUCAAUCUACAAAAAUAAAGGUCACCUCUCCCGUCUAAAUAGAGGCUAAAACUAAGCGCCAUAUUUUGACACUCUCCGCAAACUAGCAGAAUCAAGUCAGUGACAAAUCCACAAUACCAACUAUGGCAAACUAAGAAGCAUCCACCUAGAGACCAUGGUUUUGGGCUAAUGGUAAUUGUGAAGAUAUCAUUUAAUCCUUUGUGGAUCUCAUGGAAUAAAGUCCACCCUAGGUUGAUAAGGGCCCGAAACAAUGGAAUCUAGAUGGACGCUUCUCAGUUUUCCAAAGCUGGUGUUGUGGCUUUUUUACCGAACUGAGUCUGCUUGUUUAUGAUUGCGGUCAAUAGAUGGCGCUUGGCUUUAUCGUCUAUUUUGACGAGAGAGGCAAUAUUUAUUUUUAUUGUUUACCUCAAUAAGCAGUUAAGCCUGUCUAUAGCGCCCCCUCUAAAUAGCGCCUCCCUCUCUAUAGCGCCCGAUUUUUAAAACGUAGUACGAUGCGAUUUACAUUAAAAGUGACCUGUCUAUAUCACCCCCUCUCUAUAACACCCUAUUUUGGUGAGUCCCAAGAGGGAGCGCUAUAGACAGGUUUAACUGUAUACUCGUAUAUUGAAACUUGAUCUGAAUAUUCCAUGAAUACCAUCGUACAAUGUAUUACGCGGUAUAGCUUCACAAUUUAUAUUAUCUACACAACUUGGAUGGCUAACUUUAAAAUUUGCAUAGUUCUAUAUCCAGUAGCUUGAUGUUGCAAACUCUUAGUCCCCCAGAGUACAUUGAUAAACAAAAUAUCCACACGCAUAAAACAAUAGCUAUUUUUGAAAGCUUCAGUAAAUUAAUUAUAUGAACAUUUUGAAAAAAUGAUGACAUCAAACAAUUCUAUUUAAUAUAUUUUAAAAUUAUGCGUCUAAAUAUAAAUUAUUCCAUAUAUUCACAAAUGUAAAAAUAUAUCUCAUGUAUUAUGAUGCACUAGCGCACCAUUUGUUAUGAAAAUUCGAAAUUAUUUUAGACGCGUAAGAUUAAACUUGCGAAACCGCUGCGAGGGUUCACCACUGAUGAGCCAGGCCCUCCCAUUAAUUUUUCCGUUGCAGUAAGGGCAGUAGAUAUUGUUUAAUUUUAAAAAGAAUCUUACGCGUCUAAAAUAAUAUCGAAUUUUCAUAUCUCAUGUAUAGUUGUUGAAUUUCUAAAAAUAAAUAUUAUAAAACUAUUUAUAGUAAAUGAAUAAACAAAAAUUAUCAUGAAAGGAAAAAUAAGAUAUAAUUAUAUCAUAAAUAUCAUUAUAAUAAGAUAUAUUUGAAGCAGAUGUCCUUUCAGACCUUUCAGCCCAUAAGCCGGCACUGUAAAUUGACACCAUUGGAUAGUAGGCUACCUAGACCGAAAUCUGUACGCCUGGUGCAAUAAGAAAAACUGAAAUAUUUAUACAAGUCGCUUUUAAAAAUGUAUUUAACCUCUAAGAUAUCUUUGAUAGAACAUUUGUUGUGUAUGUAAAUAGAUGAUUCGCAUUCUUUAAAGCUUUAUUAUGUAAAUAUAUAUGUAUAUUUAUCAGACAUAGUUGUUGUUGGCCAGUCGAAAGAAUAAGAGCUAAAUAAAAUUUAAUGCUCAAGUUUUAGUUGCUGUACGUCUAAUUUCGACAAUUACACAGUUUCACAUCAUCUAAAGUGUUGCCAAGAGAACGUUCCAGUUUGUUGGAUUUCUGCCCGUAAAAAGGCAACGGUGAUAAAAAUGGAAUGACGCUGCGCAUGCGUCAACAACGAUAGAGAGAAUAAUAGUUGGAAAUUAAGGGACAGCCAGUGGAACAAACAAUCAACAUUCUAUAUCUUUAGUGAGAGAAAGAUAGAAGUAGGAAUGCUAUUGGGAUGUGUUAUGUGUAUAUAAAUGUUGAAAAUAGAGAGAAAUAUACCUUUUGAUACUUAAAAUAAAAAGCACAUGUGCUUUGGUCAGGAUAUGCAUUUAUUAUUUUUAAUAUCAACACCUACCUAUUUUUUCUAUUGUUUUUUUUUUUAUGCUUUAAGCGUAUUUACGCAAGUUUGGUCUUGAAUACACAUUUCUUGGUUUCUGAAGAAGCCUCUGGGACCAAGAAAUAUUUUUUUUUGCAGUGAUACAGCCAUGCUGACGAGCGCCAACAGGGCGAAACGCGUUCGUGGAUGGCUUUUCUUGAUUUAUCAAGAAAUUGGGUUGGUCAAAUAUCAGGGAACAGGUUAAAUCAAUGUUUAGUUGAUUUCUGUUCCACUAGAUGGCGCUCUGACAUCUAAAAAGCACAUGUGAUUUUGGCCAGGAUAUGCUUUUAUUAUUUUUAAUACUUAAAAUUGUUAAAAAAAGCAUGCUCUGAUCGCUCAAAUCAGCAUUUAAAGAUGGCAGAGCGCCAUCCAUCAUAAUAAUUAUCACCUAAACCUCAAUGUAAUUUUAUUCCUGAAUGCUGAGAACAAAUAUAUAUAUAUAUAUAUAUUUUUUUUUUCAACAUGGAAUGCCAACCAUUUUCGCGUUUCAGGCUAUUGGCCAACUUUUCAGCCGGUACGAGAAUCUAAAACGUUUCUUUAUGAAAGAAUAUUAUAUUGUAAUAUUGCGAUAGGAUGGUUCGUGUUCAAAAAUAUUAAUUGUUAACAAAUUUAUAUGUUUCCUAUAACAUGCCUUUGCAAUAGAAGACUAACCGCCCGAACCUUUACAUUAUAUAUUACGAAAAAAAAGCCACCACUUUUUCUACAAUGAAACAUAUAAGACAUAAACAGUGCCCUCUAGAGACCACCUGGAAAAGGAAAUAUUUAUUUAAGGGGUGGUUUCUUAUUGAAGAUUGGGUUACCUUAAUCUAUGUCAUUUUUUUAUUAUUUUAUAAAUCGAGACACACUUCAGAUUGUUCAUUGUAUGUUAUUGUAAAUAAUUAAUAUAAAGCAAUAACGCGCCACCUAUAUAUUACAAAUGAAAACAUUAAAACACGCGUCUUUUCAUUUGUUAUAAAUACUCAAUAUGAUGUUCAAUGAACUAUCAGAAUUGAAAUAUAGAACUGUUAAUCUGUGGAAUGUUUCAGAAGAUGUUCCUGCUUGCAACUAUGUAUUCCAAGAACACAGGAGUUUCAGGAUUCUGACUAAGAAAAUCUCUUAGAAUGUACAGCCUUCAUUGACCAAUCGACUUGAUGGUUUGUUCAUUACUUUCUCAGCGUGAUAAUCAAGAAAUAUUAUGUCUUAACGCCAAAUCCCCUACGUUACAACGGGGAUCCUGAAAGACCUGGAGUCCAGGAAGAGUUGGUAGUCACGUCUCCUUAUCAUUCACCAGUCCAGAGCGCUGCGAGUUUCCUGGACGGAGAACUGAUAAGGAUGAGUGAUAACCUAAUGCUUCUGUUGAUGCCGCAUGCUUAUCUUUUUCCUAUCCAUAAUGUAUAUUACUAAUUCAUCUUUGUCGCAUGCUUAUCUCUUUUUUUACCUCAUGUGUAUUACUGAUUCAUCUUUGUUGCUGCUGUUGAUGUUGCAUGUCUAUCCUUUUCCUAUCCAUAAUGUACAUUACUGAUUCAUCUUUGUUGUUACUGUUGAUGUCGCAUGCUUAUCACUUUACUAUCCCUCAUGGAUAUUACCAAUUUAUUUGUAUAUCUGCUGUUGAUGUCGCAUGUAUAUCACUUUCUUAGCCAUCAUGUAUAUUAUCAAUACAUCUUUGUUGCUGUGGUUGAUGUUGCAUGUCUAUACAUUUCCUAUCCCUUUUGUAUAUUACCAAUUGAUUUUUGUUGCUGCUGUUGAUGUUGCAUGUCUAUCCUUUUCUUAUCCAUCAUGUAUAUUACUAAUUGAUCUUUGUUGCUGCUGUUGAGGUCGCAUGCCUUUUCUUUUCCUAUCCCUCAUGUAUAUUACUGAUUCAUCUUUGUUUCUGCGGUUGAUGUUGCAUGUUUAUCACUUUCCUAUUCAUCAUUUAUAUUGUCAAAUCAUUUUUUUGCCUUUCUUGAUAUCAUAUGCCUGUUCUUUUUCUUAGUCCUGGAUUUUUUCAUUGAGCCUUACCACAUCAGCGGCGAAGCACGCGAUCUACUUUUACUUCGUAGAUCGUGAAAAACGGAGUCGAUGGAAAAACCCGCUGGUGAUAUUUCAUUGAACUCUGCAGUAGUGGCAGAGGUGAGAAAAUGUAAAUAAUUUCUAUACAUAGAAUAUAUAUAACACACACACACACACUAAUUUUAAUUUCAAUAUAAUUAUCAUUGUAUCCUUUUCCUAUCAUUCAUGUUCAUUACCAAUUCAUUUUCUGAGGCAUCAUGCUUAUCACCUUCAUAUGUAUCAUGUAUAUUACUCUAUAUGCUGCUGAUGCUACAAGAACCUCUCCAUUCCCUAUCUCUCAUGUAUAUCAAACAUUUAUUUUGUUGCUGCUGGUCAUGUCGUAAGCCUAUUCCUUUUUCUAUCUAUCAUGUAUAUUACAAAUCGAUUUUUGUUGUUGCUGGUGAUACUAAAGGUCUUUCACUUUCCUCUUUUUCCUGUAUAUUGUAUAUAACCAUUUGCUUUUUUUUUUGUUUCUGCCUAUUAUAACCUUUAACUUUCCUAUCUUUCAUGCAUAUUGUAUAUUACCAAUUCAUAUUUGUUGCUGAUGUUGAUGCCACAAGCCUAUCCCAUAUGUUUAUUGCUGUUGAUACCACAGUGACUAAUUUUUUACAUUUUUAUUGCCAAUAUUAUCUGUUAGUUUGCACGUGUGUAUGAAUUCUGUUUUUAUAUUACAUUGUUUCCAAAUUUGCAAACAAAUCGAGAAAGAGUUUAGUUAUCGGAUAAUAUAUGUGGCACUUAGUGAGAGGCCUUCUUUCUCUCUUUCUGAGUCUUUCUCGCGGUGGGCGCCACCAAGGACGACAUUCUAUAUACAGUUAUCAGCGUCAUGCGUUCUGUCACCGUUUGCUUUUGGUGGCGUGAUCGUAGCGAGCCAAUAGGAGAGCGCCAUUCAGGUGUCACCGUUUGCUGCGCCACCACGUGGCGCGACGGUGACCUUGAGUGACGUAAUGAUAGGGUAGGAACAAGAAAUCACUUGCUAUCAUUAUCAUAUCAUUUUAUGUAUAUAUCAGAUUUAAAAUAUAUUCAUACAAAAAAUCUAAAUAAUACAAGUUUCAAAUAUCGUUGUGAAAAUUUACAUUUUUAUUUUUGUAUUUUAAAAACACACAAAGAUUGAAGCGGGACGUUUCAAAAGUGUGCCAUUCACGACGUCAAUUUAUAAUUGUAAAGAAUAGUAUUUUAAUAAAACAUUUAAUCGGGUAAAACCCGGGCGUUGCCCGGGUCAUUCGGCUAGUAGUAUAUAUGUACAGUUAAGCCUGUCUAUAGCGCCCCCUCUAAAUAGCGCCUUCCUCUUUAUAGCGCCCGAUUUUAAAUACGUAGUACGAUGCGAUAUUUACAUUAAAAGUGAUCUGUCUAUAGCACCCUAUUUUGGUGAGUCCCAAGAGGAGGCGCUAUAGACAGGUUUAACUGUAUAUUUAUCAAUUAUUUUAUAUAUUUAUAUCUAUUUAUUUAUAUAUUUAUCCUUAUUUAAUUUUUUUAUUUAUUCUAUACAUUUAUGUAUUUAACCUUAUAUGGACGAUGUAUUAAAGAAUUUUCCAUCUCAAUCUCUCUCUCUCCCUAUUUGCCUUCAAUUCUACCUAUCCAACACCAUCAGCCAAGGAUAACAUUUAAAGAGGAAUUUGAAAAAUAUAAUUAGAAAAUUAUAAACC